UAUGAGAGUUUGAUCCUGGCUCAGGACGAACGCUGGCGGCGUGCCUAAUACAUGCAAGUCGUACGCUUCUUUUUCCACCGGAGCUUGCUCCACCGGAAAAAGAAGAGUGGCGAACGGGUGAGUAACACGUGGGUAACCUGCCCAUCAGAAGGGGAUAACACUUGGAAACAGGUGCUAAUACCGUAUAACAAUCGAAACCGCAUGGUUUUGAUUUGAAAGGCGCUUUCGGGUGUCGCUGAUGGAUGGACCCGCGGUGCAUUAGCUAGUUGGUGAGGUAACGGCUCACCAAGGCUACGAUGCAUAGCCGACCUGAGAGGGUGAUCGGCCACAUUGGGACUGAGACACGGCCCAAACUCCUACGGGAGGCAGCAGUAGGGAAUCUUCGGCAAUGGACGAAAGUCUGACCGAGCAACGCCGCGUGAGUGAAGAAGGUUUUCGGAUCGUAAAACUCUGUUGUUAGAGAAGAACAAGGAUGAGAGUAACUGUUCAUCCCUUGACGGUAUCUAACCAGAAAGCCACGGCUAACUACGUGCCAGCAGCCGCGGUAAUACGUAGGUGGCAAGCGUUGUCCGGAUUUAUUGGGCGUAAAGCGAGCGCAGGCGGUUUCUUAAGUCUGAUGUGAAAGCCCCCGGCUCAACCGGGGAGGGUCAUUGGAAACUGGGAGACUUGAGUGCAGAAGAGGAGAGUGGAAUUCCAUGUGUAGCGGUGAAAUGCGUAGAUAUAUGGAGGAACACCAGUGGCGAAGGCGGCUCUCUGGUCUGUAACUGACGCUGAGGCUCGAAAGCGUGGGGAGCAAACAGGAUUAGAUACCCUGGUAGUCCACGCCGUAAACGAUGAGUGCUAAGUGUUGGAGGGUUUCCGCCCUUCAGUGCUGCAGCUAACGCAUUAAGCACUCCGCCUGGGGAGUACGACCGCAAGGUUGAAACUCAAAGGAAUUGACGGGGGCCCGCACAAGCGGUGGAGCAUGUGGUUUAAUUCGAAGCAACGCGAAGAACCUUACCAGGUCUUGACAUCCUUUGACCACUCUAGAGAUAGAGCUUCCCCUUCGGGGGCAAAGUGACAGGUGGUGCAUGGUUGUCGUCAGCUCGUGUCGUGAGAUGUUGGGUUAAGUCCCGCAACGAGCGCAACCCUUAUUGUUAGUUGCCAUCAUUUAGUUGGGCACUCUAGCAAGACUGCCGGUGACAAACCGGAGGAAGGUGGGGAUGACGUCAAAUCAUCAUGCCCCUUAUGACCUGGGCUACACACGUGCUACAAUGGGAAGUACAACGAGUCGCGAAGUCGCGAGGCUAAGCUAAUCUCUUAAAGCUUCUCUCAGUUCGGAUUGUAGGCUGCAACUCGCCUACAUGAAGCCGGAAUCGCUAGUAAUCGCGGAUCAGCACGCCGCGGUGAAUACGUUCCCGGGCCUUGUACACACCGCCCGUCACACCACGAGAGUUUGUAACACCCGAAGUCGGUGAGGUAACCUUUUGGAGCCAGCCGCCUAAGGUGGGAUAGAUGAUUGGGGUGAAGUCGUAACAAGGUAGCCGUAUCGGAAGGUGCGGCUGGAUCACCUCCUUUCUAAGGAA
Molecule: ribosomal RNA, 1565 nt
Filed under: Enterococcus durans
Lineage: Bacteria; Bacillati; Bacillota; Bacilli; Lactobacillales; Enterococcaceae
Description: bacterial SSU rRNA
Rfam family: Bacterial small subunit ribosomal RNA
Source: RNAcentral